AUGUACUUCUAGUACGCUUGGCUUUGCGCCAUGUCUGUAAACUGCUGUUUAACUGGUGGGCCCAAGCGAAAUAUAUGCUCCUGGACUCACAAAUAUUGCUGGAGCACCAUAAGAUCAGCUAUGUUUCUGUCCUACACUAUACCUCAGCUAACGAUUGCUCCUGAUUAAUGCUUAAUUACUCACACAGGAUCAGCCCUGACUUAGGCCAAUACUAAACAUUUUGCAGCACUAAACCAGCUAAAGUAAUCAAGCUGCUGCUUAGCAGAUAGGCCCCAAGCGACACAUAUACCACGACACCCACAAACACUGCUGGAAUACAAUACUGUAUACCUCACAUAAAGGCGUAAACCAACAUGUGACCCAGCUACUUAAACGCUUUUGCCCAUACCUGUGUUGAACCGUACACUGCUUAAGGUUGUCUUUCCUGUUCAUUAAAUUACAAAAACGUGCUGAGUUAACUUAUG
Non-coding RNA from Pelobates cultripes (western spadefoot toad), 464 nucleotides. The record is from the annotation of a GenBank genome assembly. Lineage: Eukaryota; Metazoa; Chordata; Amphibia; Anura; Pelobatidae.